Molecule: small nuclear RNA, 126 nt
Organism: Camelus dromedarius (Arabian camel)
Lineage: Eukaryota; Metazoa; Chordata; Mammalia; Artiodactyla; Camelidae
Source: Ensembl
GUGUUGUAUGAAAGGAGAAAAAGUUAGCAAUCCUCACGCCAGGGAUGAAGAGGUCCUCAGGCCUGCACAAAACACACAUGCUUAAGGCAUUGCCACCUACUUCAUGGCAUCUGACCAUGGGGUUUU